AACGAACGCUGGCGGCAUGCCUAACACAUGCAAGUCGAACGAUGCCUUCGGGUCUAGUGUCGCACGGGUGCGUAACGGGUGAGAACCUGCGCUUAGGUUGGGAAUAACGCCCCGAAAUGGGGGCUAAUACCGGGUAAUUGCUGCUGACCAGAGAUUUAUCGGCUUUGUAUGGGCCCGCGUUGGAUUAGCUCGUUGUUAGGGUAAAAGCCUACCACGGGGACGAUCCGUAUCUGGUCUGAGAGGAUGAUCAGCCACACUGGGACGGAGACACGGCCCAGACUCCUACGGGAGGCAGCAGUGGGGCAUAUUGCACAAUGGGCGCAAGACUGAUCCAGCACUGCCGCGUGAGUGAUGCAGGCCUUAGGGUUGUAAAGCUCUUUUGCCUGGGAUGAUAAUGACAGUACCGGGAGAAUAAGCUCCGGCUAACUCCGUG
This 433-nucleotide ribosomal RNA is filed under the name uncultured bacterium. RNAcentral's name for it is "partial 16S ribosomal RNA". It matches the Rfam family "Bacterial small subunit ribosomal RNA", at positions 29 to 507 of the family's 1533-position model. The record is from RNAcentral.